Molecule: transfer-messenger RNA, 382 nt
Filed under: Burkholderiales
Lineage: Bacteria; Pseudomonadati; Pseudomonadota; Betaproteobacteria
Also listed under: 1 other name
Description: Aquella sp003963245 Standard tmRNA
Rfam family: transfer-messenger RNA
About the family: Bacterial tmRNA, also known as 10Sa RNA or SsrA, is named for its dual tRNA and mRNA-like properties. Its role is to liberate the mRNA from a stalled ribosome.
Source: RNAcentral
GGGGAUGACCUGGCUUCGACGGGGGUAGCGAAGUAAUUAGAGCGCAUACCGUGAUCGCAGAACACGUUAAACACUGUAAAAAACUUAAAUGCAAACACAUUUAACAACGUAGAAGUUGCGUCUAACGACGAAACUUUUGCUUUAGCAGCUUAGUUCUGCUAGCGCUAAACUUAACUUGUCUAUUGGUAUAAGUUUUAGCGUCAAAGGAAAUAGACUUUGAGAAGGACUGACCGCUUGUCCCGAUCGAAACUAAUAGCGAUUAGCUCAGAUUAAGCCUGUUAGGCCGGCGUUUUGUGAGCGAAACUCAAAAGACCUGACUAAGUAUGUAGGACUCGUUAUAGAGGACUUUCGGACGGGGGUUCAAUUCCCCCCAUCUCCACCA